Bradysia coprophila is the source of this 152-nucleotide long non-coding RNA. NCBI's taxonomy places the organism in Eukaryota, Metazoa, Arthropoda, Insecta, Diptera, Sciaridae. The record is from RefSeq and is a predicted model, not a curated record.
GCCACAAAAUCGUCGAACUUCCUUAAAUGUUCGUAUGUACGGAAAACGACAGCGUUACAUGUUGAGUAUGUGUGUGUUGAAGAAAGUUCGACAAUUGAUCAGCUUUGUGUACAACACACGAUACGAGCUGUGACGUAGUAUUUGAAAGAACG